UCUAAAAGUGCCAUAGAAUGU
RNAcentral lists this non-coding RNA (21 nucleotides) under Arabidopsis thaliana (thale cress). Lineage: Eukaryota; Viridiplantae; Streptophyta; Magnoliopsida; Brassicales; Brassicaceae. The record is from RNAcentral.